Non-coding RNA from Lactuca sativa (garden lettuce), 886 nucleotides. The record is from RefSeq and is a predicted model, not a curated record. NCBI's taxonomy places the organism in Eukaryota, Viridiplantae, Streptophyta, Magnoliopsida, Asterales, Asteraceae.
AUUAUCCAACAUCGAGAUUUUAGGUUAGCAUUUAUCUCAAUUAUUUGUUUGGCUGAUUUUUUUCCAUGUAUAUUCGAGAUUUGUUUGAAUCUUAUUUAAAUUUUGAUUUAUAAUUAUACUUAUAUAUUAAAAGGCAUCGCGUUUACGAACAGUGCUUUUUAUGCAAUUUAGAUUUCAACCACACUAUUUUGUUGGUAUUAAAGAUUUGGUCCCUGUUUUCCCUACAUACGUGUCGUUCCUGCAACCCUUACAACGUCUUGAUUCCACAAGAGUGCCGACAACUCAGAGAAUCCGUCGACACAUUCCGGGCGCAUUUCUUCUGCCACCACUACAUUACAACGUUCGAACAUCCUUUGGUCCACCACCGUCUCCACCGCCAUCUUCAUCUUCUGUUCCACUCUUUUCUCCCCUCAUUACAGAACCGACAAUAUGUGUGAUUGUGGUGCGAUUUUCAUGGAUUUUUGGCCAUAGUGUUUUGUUUUUGUGAAAAAACCUUUCUCUUGACUCCAACUCUUCCGAUUCAUAUAAGAAAUACUUCUUCAAUCAUGCUCCCAGUCGGCAAAAAACGCACAAGAAUUGGUAUAUGUUGACGCAUAAGACGAUAAAGGGGAUGUGAAAUUGCACAUCAAUUGACCCGGUGGUUAUGUAAUUUCGGGUUAACUCGAAAGCAAAAAACACAUUACAUUGUCACUUCAAUAUAGAAAUAUGAACAUGCAAUAUCUAGCAAUUGCAUUUGACAUCGGUUCGUCUGGUCGUUUUGUUACUUCUUGUAUGCCAAUGGUUUUCUUUGGUUAAGAAAGUUUCUUAAUUUUUGUAGCUAUUUUCUAGAUUGAUGUUUGUAAAAGUCUUUCAUCACUUCCAAACAUAACCACAAAGCAAAAAACAA